RNAcentral lists this transfer RNA (67 nucleotides) under marine eukaryotic metagenome. It matches the Rfam family "tRNA", at positions 5 to 66 of the family's 71-position model. Rfam says of the family: Transfer RNA (tRNA) molecules are approximately 80 nucleotides in length. Their secondary structure includes four short double-helical elements and three loops (D, anti-codon, and T loops). The record is from RNAcentral.
CCGUAGCUCAGCUGGAUAGAGCAACGGCCUUCUAAGCCGUGGGUCGCAGGUUCGAAUCCUGCCGGGC